UUGUAUUUCUCCUCAUUGACCUCUUCUCUCUUUCCAUAUCCAUUCCUCCUAGAUAAAACUUCUCUCUGGUGACGUUAAGACAUUUUGUGGAAGGGAUGUCCCUUCGUCCCUGCUCACAAGGUCUCAACUUGUUGAGAUUAUCUUCAGGACAGACCAUAAAGGAGCAAACCGAGGGUUUAGCCUCUAUUACAAAACAAGAGAGAUGAAAUGUACUGGACCUGUGACACCAAAAUCUAGUCUGUACCCGCAGGAUUCUGAAUAUCCCACAGGCUACAAAGUUACAGUGAAAUGUGACAAAGGACAUGUAUUGAAAUCACAUGAAUCAGCUGAGGUUGAGUAUGAGGCCACAUGC
Long non-coding RNA from Sinocyclocheilus anshuiensis, 352 nucleotides. RefSeq lists it as uncharacterized. The record is from RefSeq and is a predicted model, not a curated record. The transcript has 3 exons. NCBI's taxonomy places the organism in Eukaryota, Metazoa, Chordata, Actinopteri, Cypriniformes, Cyprinidae.